AGAGCGGCGGACGGGUGAGUAACACGUGGACAAUCUGCCCCCCGGCCCGGGAUAGCCCAGGGAAACCUGGAUUAAUACCGGAUGAGACGGGACCUGCGAUGGCGGGAUCCGGGAAAGGCGCUACGGCGCCGCCGGGGGAUGAGUCUGCGUCCCAUUAGCUAGACGGCGGGGUAACGGCCCACCGUGGCGACGAUGGGUAGCCGGCCUGAGAGGGUGGACGGCCACAUUGGAACUGAGACACGGUCCAGACUCCUACGGGAGGCAGCAGCUAAGAAUCUCCGCAAUGGGCGAAAGCCUGACGGAGCGACGCCGACGUGAACGAAGAAGGCCGUGAGGUUGUAAAGUUCUUUUCGGGAGGGGGAACAACCGUGGCAGGGAAUGGCCGCGGGAUGACGUGAAUCCCGGAAUAAGCCCCGGCUAACUACGUGCCAGCAGCUGC
Molecule: ribosomal RNA, 439 nt
Filed under: uncultured bacterium
Lineage: Bacteria
Description: bacterial SSU rRNA
Rfam family: Bacterial small subunit ribosomal RNA
Source: RNAcentral